This 715-nucleotide ribosomal RNA is filed under the name uncultured Pseudomonadales bacterium. RNAcentral describes it as "bacterial SSU rRNA". It matches the Rfam family "Bacterial small subunit ribosomal RNA", at positions 58 to 768 of the family's 1533-position model. The record is from RNAcentral. Lineage: Bacteria; Pseudomonadati; Pseudomonadota; Gammaproteobacteria; Pseudomonadales.
CAAGUCGAGCGGAUGAGAAGAGCUUGCUCUUCGAUUCAGCGGCGGACGGGUGAGUAAUGCCUAGGAAUCUGCCUGGUAGUGGGGGACAACGUUUCGAAAGGAACGCUAAUACCGCAUACGUCCUACGGGAGAAAGCAGGGGACCUUCGGGCCUUGCGCUAUCAGAUGAGCCUAGGUCGGAUUAGCUAGUUGGUGAGGUAAUGGCUCACCAAGGCGACGAUCCGUAACUGGUCUGAGAGGAUGAUCAGUCACACUGGAACUGAGACACGGUCCAGACUCCUACGGGAGGCAGCAGUGGGGAAUAUUGGACAAUGGGCGAAAGCCUGAUCCAGCCAUGCCGCGUGUGUGAAGAAGGUCUUCGGAUUGUAAAGCACUUUAAGUUGGGAGGAAGGGCAUUAACCUAAUACGUUAGUGUUUUGACGUUACCGACAGAAUAAGCACCGGCUAACUCUGUGCCAGCAGCCGCGGUAAUACAGAGGGUGCAAGCGUUAAUCGGAAUUACUGGGCGUAAAGCGCGCGUAGGUGGUUUGUUAAGUUGGAUGUGAAAGCCCCGGGCUCAACCUGGGAACUGCAUCCAAAACUGGCAGGCUAGAGUACGGUAGAGGGUGGUGGAAUUUCCUGUGUAGCGGUGAAAUGCGUAGAUAUAGGAAGGAAUACCAGUGGCGAAGGCGACCACCUGGACUGAUACUGACACUGAGGUGCGAAAGCGUGGGGAG